GCCAGGUGUGGUGGUGUGCACCUGUAGUCCCAGCUACUUGGGAGGCUGAGGUGGGAGGAUCACCUGAGCCCAGGAGGUCUAGGCUGCAGUGAGCCGUGAUCACACCACUACACUCCAGCCUGGGCAAUAGGGUGAAAACCUGUCUGAA
Pongo abelii (Sumatran orangutan) is the source of this 148-nucleotide unclassified non-coding RNA. It matches the Rfam family "Metazoan signal recognition particle RNA". From Rfam's summary of the family: The signal recognition particle (SRP) is a universally conserved ribonucleoprotein. It is involved in the co-translational targeting of proteins to membranes. The record is from Ensembl. NCBI's taxonomy places the organism in Eukaryota, Metazoa, Chordata, Mammalia, Primates, Hominidae.